Ovis aries (sheep) is the source of this 72-nucleotide transfer RNA. It matches the Rfam family "tRNA". From Rfam's summary of the family: Transfer RNA (tRNA) molecules are approximately 80 nucleotides in length. The record is from Rfam. Lineage: Eukaryota; Metazoa; Chordata; Mammalia; Artiodactyla; Bovidae.
UCCCUGGUGGCUCAGAUGGUAAAGCAUCUGUUUGCAAUGCAGGAGACCCAGGUUGGAUCCCUGGGUUGGGAA